This 2034-nucleotide long non-coding RNA is filed under the name Mus pahari (shrew mouse). Its description in RNAcentral is "lncRNA (MGP_PahariEiJ_G0004838.1)". Lineage: Eukaryota; Metazoa; Chordata; Mammalia; Rodentia; Muridae. The record is from RNAcentral.
GGAAGGAAAACCUGCGUUCAAUAGCCUUCACCUCCUCUGCAGAGAUGAAAUGCCGAACAUUGUAGCUGACACCCACUCGGUUCAGGUGGCCCCGGACAUGGUUGGCUAGCCCGAUACCAUUGUGGAAACGAUCAGGACAGUAGGGGCAUUUCCGCUCCUCGUGCUUUAGUGCCAUGGCUGGAUCCCCUUCUAGGAGUGUGUCCAGACCCAGUGAGCCACCCAAAGGUGUAUCUAGGAGCAGGAAAUCCAGGGGGUGGGUGCUUCUCAGCUCUAGCUCCUCAGGUGGCAGCUGUGGGGAUGCUCGGGUGGCGGCAGCUAUGACUUGUGGCCUGAGCUUUGCCAUCAGAACAAUGGGUACCAUUCCUUGGAGCUGUUGCUGUUGAGUUUCUGAGGCAUCGACUGCCUGGAGGGCAUCUUGGAAAGUCUGCUUCAACUCAAGGGCUGGCUGAGGGAUGAGGCUAGGGACGGCUAGGGGUGGAAAGGGUCCAUUUUCAGGAGUAAAAUCCAUUUCAGAAGUCAGCACUACAUCUUCAUCUUCUUCCUCUUCACUCCAAGGAUGACUCUUGUCUUCCAUUCUCUGCAGGUGGACAGUGCUUUUGUUUCUAUUGAGCUGUAUAGAAUAGGAAGCAGAUGCCAUAGGGGAAGGAAAGGCCAGCUUUCCAAGAGACUGCUGGCCUGAAUUUAACAAUGGGAAAUCUCUCAUGCCUGGCUGCUGAUAAUCUGGACCAAAGGCAAGGCCAGGGUCAUAUCCAGAAGGGUUCUCUUGCCACACAGAGGCCAAGAGAGGCUCAGAUUUGCUAAAAUAGUCCACGGUGGCAGUGUCAGGUAAGUGAGUAUAUGUAUCCUGGCUAGUACCUGGCUGGCUAGUGAGGUCCUCAAAGGCCUUUCCAGCCUCCUCCCAGUGGGCGUGGUGGGCGUGGACUAGCCUCUCGUGCUCCCUGAGCAGACUCUUGCUAGGUGCUAUGAAGCCACAGUGAACGCAGGUAUUGAGGCCUGAGGAGUCUCCAUAGGAGGGAUAGACGAGGGUGCUAACAUCUAAGACUGGGCUGCCACCCCUGAAAGGUUCCGUGGUCUGCCGGCUGGGCAGUGACCCACGCACAUGCAGCUUGGCAUGCUGCAUGAAGGCUCUAGAGGAAUUGGUGCCAAAGACACACUUGGAGCACUGUAGUCGUGCCUCACGGCCCUCAUCACCUGGAAACUGCUUUAGCUUUUGGAUCUCUUCAAUAAUCUUCUCCCGGGAAGCCUGGUGCAGUUGCCAGUGCUGUUCCAGGGCAGUGGGCUCUGUGAAGGCCCAGCCACAUUCGCUGCAGGCCAGUGGAGCCAGGUCAGCUGGGGGCUCCUGGCCCGGGGCUCGGCGGUGCUGGCUCAUGUGUUCUAGGAGGUGCUCCUUGUGCUUAAAGUAGAUGCUGCACUCGAUGCAAGGAAACACAGCUGGCUCCUCUUCCUCUUCUUCAUUGCUGUCCACCCCACCAGCUACUUCCUGCAACAGUUCACACAGGUACGGUCCCGUCUGGACUGGGGACAGUAGGGGCUGCAGCCGCUCCACAGAUGCUUCAGAGUUCACUGUCCAGGUCUGGGUGGCCACUUCUGAGGCUGAUGUGUGGAGACCCCACUCAGAAGGCUGGGCCACCUCCCCAAAGUCCUCUAGGUCCUCUCUGGUACCCAUCACUUCCAUGUCCAAGGUCUUGGGAGUGUCAUCCACUGGCACAAUUACCCUCCUGAAGGAAGUGACAGUCUGUGGCUGGGCAGGGAGGUCCAGGUGCAACCGUGUAUCCUUCAGGGGCUCCUGUUCAUCCGUAUCUUGGAGCCAAUCAAACUUGUGGUGGCUUGGAGAGUAUUUCUCUAAGAACUUCACUUCACCCUGGUGGUGCAAGAACUUUCUAGAGCCCUUGAGCUUGGCAUAGGGUUUCAUAGUUCUCACAAUAACUGAGUCCUUGAACCUCUGCUCAGAUGGGGUACCCUCCCUGGCCUCCUGGACCAUGGGAUGUUCCCAAGACCCCUGAACAUCAAGGGAUGCAGGGAAGGAACCCAGAA